RNAcentral lists this ribosomal RNA (881 nucleotides) under uncultured bacterium. RNAcentral describes it as "bacterial SSU rRNA". It matches the Rfam family "Bacterial small subunit ribosomal RNA", at positions 37 to 916 of the family's 1533-position model. The record is from RNAcentral.
UGGCGGCUGCCUUACACAUGCAAGUCGAACGGCAGCACGGGGCAACCCUGGUGGCGAGUGGCGAACGGGUGAGUAAUAUAUCGGAACGUAUCCAAUAAUGGGGGAUAACUAGUCGAAAGAUUAGCUAAUACCGCAUACGCCCUGAGGGGGAAAGCUGGGGAUCUUCGGACCUAGCGUUAAUGGAGCGGCCGAUAUCUGAUUAGCUAGUUGGUGGGGUAAAGGCCCACCAAGGCGACGAUCAGUAGCUGGUCUGAGAGGACGACCAGCCACACUGGAACUGAGACACGGUCCAGACUCCUACGGGAGGCAGCAGUGGGGAAUUUUGGACAAUGGGCGAAAGCCUGAUCCAGCCAUUCCGCGUGAGUGAAGAAGGCCUUCGGGUUGUAAAGCUCUUUCGCAAGGGAAGAAACGUUACGAGCGAAUAACUCGUGAUAAUGACGGUACCUUGAUAAGAAGCACCGGCUAACUACGUGCCAGCAGCCGCGGUAAUACGUAGGGUGCGAGCGUUAAUCGGAAUUACUGGGCGUAAAGCGUGCGCAGGCGGUGUUGUAAGACAGUUGUGAAAUCCCCGGGCUCAACCUGGGAACUGCAUCUGUGACUGCAAUGCUGGAGUGCGGCAGAGGGGGAUGGAAUUCUGCGUGUAGCAGUGAAAUGCGUAGAUAUGCGGAGGAACACCGAUGGCGAAGGCAAUCCCCUGGGCCUGCACUGACGCUCAUGCACGAAAGCGUGGGGAGCAAACAGGAUUAGAUACCCUGGUAGUCCACGCCGUAAACGAUGAAUGCUAGCCGUUGGGGGGUUUACCCUUCAGUGGCGCAGCUAACGCUUUAAGCAUUCCGCCUGGGGAGUACGGUCGCAAGAUUAAAACUCAAACGAAUUGACGG